RNAcentral lists this long non-coding RNA (377 nucleotides) under Camelus dromedarius (Arabian camel). Its description in RNAcentral is "lncRNA (ENSCDRG00005021623.1)". Lineage: Eukaryota; Metazoa; Chordata; Mammalia; Artiodactyla; Camelidae. The record is from RNAcentral.
AUGGAAAACCAGGAGCACCCGGGAGCACAUUUCAGAGGAAGCUCUGAGGGCAGGAGGUGGACCAUGUUCCUGACUGCCAUCAGGAACUGGGCCACGGGAACACGGAUGUCACUUUCCCAAAGGACAGCUUGAACUAUGGAGAAACUACUAAUAAAAUUUCAAGAGCUAAAGGCUGCGAGCCAGCAAACUCAAUGUGAAAGAGAGAAAAAUGGAGAGAACAAAAACGCAGAAUCUGAAGAUGUGUUACUACACGUCAAGAUAAAUAUCAUGCAAGAGAAGAGAGAUGAUGUUUUUCAAAUAUUUAAAACACAAUUUACAGCUACUUGCUUCAGCCCAGUUAAUAGAAAUAUAGUUAGACUGUGGGAAAUGGAUAGUUU